RNAcentral lists this ribosomal RNA (253 nucleotides) under uncultured bacterium. RNAcentral describes it as "partial 16S ribosomal RNA". It matches the Rfam family "Bacterial small subunit ribosomal RNA", at positions 524 to 776 of the family's 1533-position model. The record is from RNAcentral.
UACGAAGGGGGCUAGCGUUGCUCGGAAUCACUGGGCGUAAAGCGCACGUAGGCGGCUUCUUAAGUCGGGGGUGAAAUCCUGGAGCUCAACUCCAGAACUGCCUUCGAUACUGAGGAGCUUGAGUCCGGGAGUGGUGAGUGGAACUGCGAGUGUAGAGGUGAAAUUCGUAGAUAUUCGCAAGAACACCAGUGGCGAAGGCGGCUCACUGGCCCGGUACUGACGCUGAGGUGCGAAAGCGUGGGGAGCAAACAGG